AAAAUUAUAUUCCAUGAUAGUAUUUUACGUUAAUGUUAUUUUAAUGAUAAAAUAAUAUUUAAAUUAAAACAUUUGCUUAAUCCUUGGAGGUAUUAUUGACUACCUAAUACCUAUUGUAUGUACUAACAAACGACAAAUUACGAUUCGUUGAUAAUUUAAGUUCGCUUAUAAGAAGAGGUAGGUAAUUGCUGUGCUGUAUAGUUGGAAUCGAGUAUAUCCCGUCAUUGAUGUCCUAUGAUGAGGAACUUCGAAGCUUACUGUACAGCAGAGCAGUCAACUACUUGCCCACAUUUUAUUCAUAAUGGCUCAUUCAAAUUAACAUAUUAGUUUAAGUCACGUUCACCAGUCGGUGUAAACAUAAAUAAUAUAUACUGGGAAUCAGCCAUAAAGUCUUUAGGUUAGGUAAGUUA
Long non-coding RNA from Myzus persicae (green peach aphid), 410 nucleotides. RefSeq lists it as uncharacterized. The record is from RefSeq and is a predicted model, not a curated record. NCBI's taxonomy places the organism in Eukaryota, Metazoa, Arthropoda, Insecta, Hemiptera, Aphididae. The transcript has 4 exons.